UCCGAAGGGGGCUAGCGUUGUUCGGAAUCACUGGGCGUAAAGCGCACGUAGGCGGCGCGUUAAGUCAGGGGUGAAAUCCUGGAGCUCAACUCCAGAACUGCCUUUGAUACUGGCGUGCUCGAGUGUGGGAGAGGUUGGUGGAACUCCGAGUGUAGAGGUGAAAUUCGUAGAUAUUCGGAAGAACACCAGUGGCGAAGGCGGCCAACUGGCCCAUUACUGACGCUGAGGUGCGAAAGCGUGGGGAGAAAACAGG
This 253-nucleotide ribosomal RNA is filed under the name uncultured bacterium. Its description in RNAcentral is "partial 16S ribosomal RNA". It matches the Rfam family "Bacterial small subunit ribosomal RNA", at positions 524 to 776 of the family's 1533-position model. The record is from RNAcentral.